GAAAGAAAAGAAGGGAUUGGGAAAGAAGAGACGAGGGAAUGAACGGAAUGGUCGAAACCGCAGAUUUUCGUCGGAUCAAACCUGUCGAUCAAAACAAAGAAAUCAGAAGCUGUAAAUUCGAUAUCGAUUUGGGUCUCCUCAACAAUAUCCACCCCGAAUUCGAUUCCCUCACAUGGGGCAAUCAAGUGCGCGGGCGCAUCAAAUCUCGUUUUAGUAAAUCCUAUUCCAUGGGCUGAUUUGCUCGGUUGAUUUCGAUACGACCCAGUGUUCAGACUUGAGAGACAAGUGUUGUAACCGAACAAGGAAUGGAUGGAGAUCAGAAUAAUAGUAGAUCGAAGUUUUUCCAACACAACGCAAGAAAGUGAAGUGAGUUUCUUUACAAGUUUAGAAGUAUAUGCGAUUUCCUUUAAUUAAGGAUGAGAAGCUGAACAUCCAAGCGAAGCCCCUUAACUUCCUGUGCUGGUUCUCUUAUUUUUUCUUCCUUCGUCGUCUCAAUCUCAAAAUAUGGUCCUGAAGACCCUUCCCCACUCUCCAAGCGAAUUCGUAAAGACGAUGGUUGUCAAAGUUUAAAACCCACAUGCAAAGAAUGGAGUGAUAUGCAAGAAAAUGAUCUGCAAUUCAAUUCCGCUGGCUCAACCUAGCGUUGGCUAGCCUCAACUACUUUGUGUUAACUGAACAAAUCUUCCUCUGCUAAGUUCUUCUUGCAGGGAUUUGGCUGAGCACAGUCGUUGGACUUAAUGCCAUAAUGCUUACAGCAUCAACUUUCCACGUAGGUGGUUCAUAUACUACGGUGAAGACUUGCUGAUUUAACAACCUGCAUAAUCCUUUUGAAUUCACCUUAAUCUAAGAGAGUGCUGCGGGGUUCACUAUGUUUUGAAUGAUGCGAGAGUACAAGUUACACUGGCUGCUGCGCAAGUACUUAAAACGUAAUUGUCGCCACCCGGGAUCUCAACGUCUGAGGUAGCUGAGGAAUGGUUUCUCCGAAACAGGUAUGGACUUCACGCACCAACCAAUUGGCCACGAAAAGGAUGCAAUGGCAAUGCAAACUACCCACUGCCACCAAUUCAAACUCACUGUGUCUGCAAAUUUCUUCAGGAACUCCACCAUCACAAUCUGAAGAACUACAGUCACUGCAAUGAUCCCAAGAAACAACCGGUUCUUAUGGAGACCCGUGAACACGUUCUUCUUCUCCAACUUCCGCGAAUUGAAUUCAUUGAAAACUUGACAGAACACAAAGGUGUUGAAGAUUAUAGUAUUGUUUACUGCCCUGCUUACAUUAAAGAUCGAUCUACCGCUGAACUGGAAUGUCAAGAGGAUGGCUAUCUGGUAUAGAGCUUGUGCCAAAAGGUUUCUCCACAUUACGUUUGUUAUGAGGGGUUCAGACCGGCCCACUGGCGGUUUGUCCAUCAGCUCGUCUGUUGGUCGCUCUGUGGCCAAAGCCAAAGCACCCAAUGAGUCCAUAAUGAGGUUGACCCACAACAAUUGCACCGUUGUUAGGGGGACUUCUCCGGCAGAAACUGCUGCAACAAAGUUGAUCACCAGAGCUGCAACAUUUACAGUAAGUUGAAACUGAAUAAACUUUUGGAUAUUAUUGUAUACGCAUCGCCCCCAUCUCAGAACCGUGGCCACAGAGGCAAAAUCAUCAUCCAAUAUGACGAUAUCUGAGCUCUCUUUUGCCACCUCAGUGCCUUGGAUUCCCAUGGAAAGUCCUACGUCGGCUUCUUUCAAAGCUGGUGCAUCGUUUGUGCCAUCUCCAGUGACUGCAACCACGUGUCCCUUUUGUUUCAAGCAUUGUACCAUCAAAAGCUUGUCAAAAGGGGAGGAUCUCGCCAUUACACGGAUUCGAUCCACCUUUCGCAUUCUUUCUUCGUGUGUGUAGGUCCGGAACUCUACUCCUUCCACCACUUCUCCGUCCCUAACUUGUUUAUCAUUAUUGUCAAGAAUUCCGCAUUCUGUGGCUAUUGCCUUUGCAGUAAAUACAUUGUCUCCUGUUAUCAUUUUGAUAUCCACUCCAGCUGCUCUGCAAAUUUUAAUGGCUUUCUUUGCACCAGGCCUGCAUGGAUCCUUCAGCCCAACUAUACCUAGCAAGGUCAUUCCAUCUUCUUCUAGCUUCUGGUGUGUUUUUUUCCCAUCGUUGAUAUAUUUGAUUUCUUGCUCUGAAACUUGCUUAUGGGCAAAAGCAAUGCAACGCAGGCUACUAGCUGCCAUUCCUUGGAUUAUAUUCUCGAAUUGUUUCCUUCCUUCUUCAUCUAUUGGCGUAACCUUUCCAGAGCCUUCAUAAUAAUGCGAACACAUACCUAGUACCAUUUCAGCAGCACCUUUCCAGUGUAUAUGAAUAGUGUCAUCAUCCUUCUUCUUCACUGAAACCCCACUUCGUUUCUUUUCCGAAUUGAAGGUUUCAACAUGAAUAAUGGUAGAACUUUGCUUUAAAUUUUCCACGUCCAUACCCAGUUCGAAGAUCGCCCAAGAUAGAAUUGCUUUUUCAGUUGGACUACCUGAAAACUCAGGUAUGGAGCCCAAAAGUGGUUUGCAAACAGUACCAGUGGUGUUCAAACCAACCCCUUGAUGGAAUAGUUCAAGGACAUUUUUGGCAAUCACUUCGGAAUGAUGUUCUUCAAUGCUUUCUUGACCAAGCCAAAACUUGGUGACUUUCAUCAUAUUCAUCGUUAAUGUUCCCGUUUUAUCGGUACAGAUAACGGUGGCAGACCCCAUGGUCUCACAAGCAGGAAGCUUCCGGACCAUUGCCUGAUCUGCCAUCAUUCUCUUCAUGGAAUAAGCAAGUGUGAGUGUGACCGCCAAUGGUAGACCUUCUGGAAUCGCGACGACCACAAUAGUGACUGCAGCAGCAACAAUAUGCACAACGGAAUUAAACACAUCGUUUAUAUCCGUUCUGCUGCCAUUGAACUCCUGGUUUCCGUUCUCAUCGUUUGUGUUUCCGGUGAAAUACCGAAUCAACAGAACCAGAAGAACCAGUAGAGCAACGGAAAGACCUGCCUUCCCAAUGGAAGAGGUCAGUUUGUCGAGCCGAGCUUGCAAUGGCGUCCGUUCGCUGGAAUCGCGUGCUAUUGAGCUCAUCAUGUUGCCCCAAGAGGUGUUCAUCCCCACAGAAGUCACCAGCAUCGUUGCAUAACCAUCGGCAACUUUCGAACCAGAAAGCAGAAAGGGGUUCUGCUCGCUGUCGACUUCCACGUAGUCACUCUCUCCCGUCAUGCUUGACUCGUCCACUUGCAACGAAUGUCCUGAUAGGAAAAUCCCAUCAGCUGGGAUUUGAUCCCCUAUCGUUAGGAACACGACGUCUCCUACCACAAUUUCGAAGAUGGAUAUCUUCUGCCGCCUUUCGUCUCUCAUGACAUCGAUUUUAAUGUCAUUGCUUAUUUUCGACAGCUUAUCAAACUGUCUUUCCUGUCUGAGAUUGCUAAGUGAAGAAACCGCAACAACAACGAAAACGGCUACGAAUAUGCUACCACCCUCGUACCAACCUUCUUUGCCUCCGUGCUCUUUGAUGCCGAAGCCAAGAGAGAGCGCAGCGCAGCCCAGAAGGAUGAUAAUGGUGGUGUCUUUGAACGCCUCCACCACGAAAUGAAGUAGCCCUUUCGGGGGUGGCUUGUUGUAAGUGUUUGUACCGAACCUGUUGGAACAUUGAAAGAUUUUAAUAAAAAUAAAUUAAAACACUUAUUAUCUAUCAUUACCUUUCCGUUACAAUAUUAGUGCAUAAAUGUUGUCGGUUGCAUAAACAUAAAAGUGAUAUUUAUUCCUAUCAUUAAAUAUAUCAAUAAAUGGGUCUUAAUCCAAUAACCUCUAUAUAUAUGGGUUGGGUUUUGACAAGUGUGAAAAGUAGUGGAAAUGAAGAAAAUAUUUGGAGAGUAUACACAGAUAAUGAAAGAGGAUUUUUAGAAUAUUUUUAUACUAUUUUCUAUAGAGUUGGGCAACUCAGUUCGUGACUCGUUCAAAUCUCUUGGUGGUCGUGAACAUCGGAUGAGGAAUGCUUGUGAGCACUUGGGUUUAAUCUUGGGACUAGUACACUCCGGUGGAACCUUCACGAGGGGAGGAAUAUUAUCCUUAAGACAGUUACUGCACGACUCUCAAUCUCACAGUCAACAUUUUUCCUACUUUCACUAUUUUCGUACUCUCAUGUUUUUCUUGAUUGUGUUUCUAUGUUCACGUGGUCCAAUGAUUAUUGUUAUAAAAUGAUAUUUGUGAACCUAAGUUCUAACAGAACCUGGUCUUUCGCAGGGUGAAAUCGUCGUCAUUGCCGGAGAUUCCGUUUUCAGGAUCAGUUUGAAGAGCUUUGGUUAAGCCCUUGAUGCCUCCAAACUUGCUGAGCUCAUUCAAGUCUUUUUCCUUCACCAUUUCGGUGAGUUUCGAUUGGUCGAUGUCGGGGAAAAACGAAUCAUCCGCUUCAUCUGCGUCGUCUAUCUCCAGCAAGUGACUUUUCGAAGUGGUUUGAUCAAAACCAUGAUUGGGUAUGAUCUGCUCGAUUUCAACAAUGGUAUGAGGAGAUGGGUGACUGCGGCGGUCUGGCGAUUUGGGUACAAUCUCCGCAAUGAGGGAGAGAAUGGCGCGGGAAGAGUAUAUCACCGUGUAGGCGAGGCGCCAUCUCUUUUGGGCUAUACUGGAUUUGCUCCUCUUAUCGGGUACGAUAUCUCGGGCGAGAUAAAGCGUGAAGUGGAUAGCCGUGCAAGCGAUACGCCAACGCUUCUGGGCUUUGGUGAAGGUGGUGGUGGCAAUGGUGUCAAGCAAAAUGAAAGACAUUGUUUGGUUUCUUCCUGAGAUAUUUUGCUGAGGGAUUAAAAGCUUUGACCAGAUUUUGAUCUUUGGGCAGUAGGAAAGAACUUC
This is a long non-coding RNA of Rhododendron vialii, 4836 nucleotides long. RefSeq lists it as uncharacterized. The record is from RefSeq and is a predicted model, not a curated record. NCBI's taxonomy places the organism in Eukaryota, Viridiplantae, Streptophyta, Magnoliopsida, Ericales, Ericaceae. The transcript is spliced from 2 exons.